RNAcentral lists this unclassified non-coding RNA (424 nucleotides) under fungal sp. RNAcentral describes it as "partial internal transcribed spacer region". The stretch from base 1 to 46 matches the Rfam family "Eukaryotic small subunit ribosomal RNA", at positions 1786 to 1831 of the family's 1831-position model. The record is from RNAcentral. Lineage: Eukaryota; Fungi.
AAGUCGUAACAAGGUAACCGUAGGUGAACCUGCGGUUGGAUCAUUACUGAAAAAGAUUCGCCGGCCCCCUUCUCUUGUUUCGUUCGUUCGUUCGUUCUUUUGCAUUUGGGGGGGUGUCCGGUUUUCAACCAACCUGUUGUGAACCGUCUUGUCUCUGGCGGCGGGGUGGGGGCCAAAGUGGGGUGCGGCAGUGUGUUGUUUCGUUUGUUUGCGAACGUCCGGCAACGACACUUUGCUGAAACACCUUGUCCUUUCCCUCACCUGUCAGCCUGGGGGGCCUCGUUAAAGCGAGGCCUUCCUCGCCGUGGACAAACCGCCAACCGUGUCCAACAAACACCUGUUUUUUUCUUCUUGUCGUCGUCUCAAAUCAUAUCUGUUACAUCAAAUACAGAAACAACUUUUGGCAACGGAUCUCUUGGCUCUC